UCUGGCCUCAAAUCAGGUAGGACUACCCGCUGAACUUAAGCAUAUCAAUAAGCGGAGGAAAAGAAACUAACAAGGAUUCCCCUAGUAACGGCGAGUGAAGCGGGAAGAGCUCAAAUUUGAAAUCUGGUAGCCUUCGGUUGCCCGAGUUGUAAUCUAGAGAAAUGUUUUCCGUGCCGGCCCAUGUACAAGUCCCUUGGAACAGGGCGUCAUAGAGGGUGAGAAUCCCGUCCUUGACAUGGACCCCCGGUGCUUUGUGAUACAUUUUCAACGAGUCGAGUUGUUUGGGAAUGCAGCUCAAAAUGGGUGGUGAAUUCCAUCUAAAGCUAAAUAUUGGCGAGAGACCGAUAGCGAACAAGUACCGUGAGGGAAAGAUGAAAAGCACUUUGGAAAGAGAGUUAAACAGUACGUGAAAUUGUUGAAAGGGAAACGAUUGAAGUCAGUCAUGCUCUUUGGUAUUUAUAUCAUUGAGUGGGGUCAACAUCAGUUUUGAUCGAUGGAUAAAGGCACUAGGAAGGUAGCACUCUCGGGUGAACUUAUAGCCUAGCGUCAUAUACUUUGAUUGGGACUGAGGAACGCAGCAUGCCUUUAUGGCCGGGAUUCGUCCACGUACAUGCU
Molecule: ribosomal RNA, 615 nt
Filed under: Naganishia albidosimilis
Lineage: Eukaryota; Fungi; Basidiomycota; Tremellomycetes; Filobasidiales; Filobasidiaceae
Description: eukaryotic LSU rRNA
Rfam family: Eukaryotic large subunit ribosomal RNA
Source: RNAcentral